CGCUCGAUCUCCUCCCUCGCUUCGCCCUUCCCUCCCCUCGAUCUGAAUCCUCCCCUGAACCCAGAACUCCAUCGCCGCGGCCCGCUCUCCUGUCCAUCUCCAUCGCCGCGGAGGAGGAGAUCCAGGCGGAGCGCUCCGCUAUCUCCAUCGCCGCGGCCCGCCCUCCUGUCCGCGUCUCCCGCGGCUGCUCCUCUGGCAGGAGGAGCAGCCCGAAGGCCGCCUCUACAGCAGCAGCAACAGCGGAAUCACAUCCCACAGGCACCAAAAGGCGGUCGGAAGGAGGUGAGCGGCCACCACCGACACACUCGCCGCUGACGCCGGCGGCGACGAACGGAUCCUGGCCGUCCCCGUCUCCUUCACAUCAGAUCCGUCAAGGUCCAGUGGACGACAUCAUGGGUGGCGAGCGGAUGGGCACGGAGCCACGGACGCACACCUCUACGGCGACCCCAAUGCCGCCUUCAUCUCGGCGCUCCUCGCAUCCCGCUACGAUGGCGACAAGUUCGACGCACUGAAACACCUCCUCACCCUCAUCGCGCAAGACCUUGAUGUCUCCUACCUCUUCCGGCAGGCGGUCAAGAACAUGGUGGCCCAGUCGCUUGAGCUGAAGACGCUCGUCCCGUCUACAAGUUCGUUCGUUGACUUUUCGGCCGUCGGAUCCAACACCGUGCCGCUGUGUGUGUCCCGUCCAUUAAUUGGGUGAGAAUACUCGCAGGUCUACAAGUCAUGGGUGUUGGAUUUACUGAGUCACUCGCUAGCUCAUGCCCAAAACAUGGUGACCACAGAGGAAUUCACGUGAUGGAUAUAUUCUCAGAACAAUCAGUCUUUGCAUUCUAAAGAGCUAAAGGAAGCAGAAUGGGCAGUGAGAAAGCAUCCAGGAAGGAGAAGUCAUCGCAUUAAGCAUAAUGAUCAUAUUUGUUUCCAUCUUAUAACAUCAUGGAAGAAGGGUGACUUAUAUUCCACCCGAUCAUGCAAGAGUGUUACCGAGAAUAUAAGCUAGGCCUAAAAGAUGGAGAAGCCUACACAGACUCCGGUUCUGCUUCCACUGUCAUGGGUUUGUCAUUCGGGACACUUGCCAUCGGGUUGCGGAUCCGCAUGCCCUGCCUCUGUUCGAUCCCGCUGGGGCAAUGACAUAGCGGAGAGUACAGAAGAGUGCGAUCUGGUGCUGCCUGUGUUAGAUGGAUGAGCUGGUGCCUCACGGCGCGGGCACCACGGUGGUUCAGCCUCAAGUGCAACCUCUGUCUGGGUACGCAUCCUCCUUGCCGAGCUCAAGCUCAAGAAGUACCUCUGGGGUCUCCACAACACCAACAUCAACGGGCUGGCUUGUUCGUGUUCUUCUGGUGCUGCUCAAUCCGCCAGUCGCAUCCAAUUAUGCAUUGGACAGCUCAACAAUUUGAUUAUGAGUCUAUUCUGGUGCACAUCCGGUCGAUGAUUUCUAAGGAUAUACAAAUAUUCUAAUAUUUGUAGAGGGCUAACGAAAAGACUCAUGCUUCAAGUGCCAAGAAUAUCAUUUCUUGCAAGAUAAGGUUAGUGCCUUCUAAUAUUUAUUCUUUUGGAAGUCAGUGCCUUCUUAAGGUGAUAUUUUUAGAAGUUGGAUUCAUCAAUUUCUGUAGCAUGUGUUGGCCCUUUAUACAAUUUUUUGUCUGUUUCCUCUUUAUCAUGAUGUCCUGGAAAUGAACUCAUGUGCUACGUUGUCUGUAUUACUUUGUUAUUUUAGUGAAUUUGUUACUCCAUUCGGGGAUUUUAAUGUAAAAACACAUGCGUAGAGCUUGGAGAGCAGAGCACUCGGGUGCGAUGGGUUGAUUGAUUCUAUAGUAGGUUUUGUUUGUACACCUAAGAUGUAUAAGAGCAGGUUCCUAUUCUAGCCCUGUGUAAUAUUCAUGCAUGGAGAAAUACCCCAUAAUACAUGGAUAAAAAGAAAAGAAAUAGCUCAGGAUACAGCUAGAUAUGCCAUUCUUUCUUGCAAUAUGCACUUCAAUUUUGGUGUGGCUUAAAUGUUCAACACUUUAAACAGUUCAGUAGAGCAGAAAGACUUGCAUGGGUUCCUUGAGAAGAUUUACAUGGAGAAGUGUUGCUUCUAUUAAAAAUGAAUGUUUAUUCUUUCUUUUAUUUCAUUAAUCGAAUACAUAUGCUAAACGAGGAUUUCUACUAAUAUGAACAUUACUUGCUUGAUCACAUCGUUGGGACCGGCAUCCUCGCGCCAAGGCGUGAUCCUGAUCUCCAUGUAAAUCUUCCCCUGCUCCCCCGCCGCGUCAAAUGCCUCCGCCGCAUCCGCUUCCCCAGCGCCCCUCCUCAUCAGCGGCGGCCGAGGAUAGCGACUGCCAGAUCACAGGGGUGGCGGGCCCUAACCGGCCCAGGGGCGUGCCCAGGAAGAGGGAUGCCAGAGUGCCGAGCCAGGUCCAUGGUGACCACGUCAAGGCCGUUCCGCCAAGGGGGAGGCUGAGAGCAAGUUGGCCAAGGAGCUCAGGAGGGAGCUGGAGUGUACCUUGAACCAGAUGAAUGACUUGGUGCGCAUCUUACUAGCCACUUAUUGUUAUUGGUCCAUAUACUCCCUGCCCCUGUGCUCUGGCUUCUACUCGCAAAUAUCUAUUGUUGCAAAAAUGCAUGUUAGAUUUAGAUGUCAUAUGAAUCAUUUAAUGAAUCUUUAAUGAGUUGAGAUAUCUUCUCGAAGAAUAUCAUUUUUUUCUUCUCUUCCUGGGCCAGCGUUACACAACUUCUCUUGGAGCAAUGAGGAACUUCAACCAUUCUUGGCGAAGGAAAAUUGAAGACUCUGGUAGAUGUAUUAGUUAGCGUGGACUUUUAUAAUCUUUAAAAUUCAUGCGGACUGCUAUCUAAGUGUCACUAGCCUUCUGUAUAAAUACUUCACUUUCAGUAUUUUGUACUAUCUCGCUGCCCUAUGCGCUACUGGUCUCUUUUGAUAUAAAUGACAUGCUUUAAUUGUUAUUAACGGCUUUUGAUCUGCAGAAUGCAAAACUUUCUAUGUAAAUGACUUGUUGUAAUCCUGAUCUACUAAAUGUUG
Molecule: non-coding RNA, 3016 nt
Organism: Triticum urartu
Lineage: Eukaryota; Viridiplantae; Streptophyta; Magnoliopsida; Poales; Poaceae
Source: RefSeq, a predicted model, not a curated record